CUUUAAAGCUAAAAGUUGAAACAUAAUUUUUUUUAUUUUUAAGUUGAGAACAUUUAUGCAUGCGAUUUCUUUACAUUUUUAUGGUUAUUUUGUUUUUGUAUAGCUAUUUUAGAAUUUUUUAAUAUAAAACAUAUAAUUAAAAUAGGCUUAUUAAGAGUGUUUUAUUUUUAUUAGAUAUGCGCCUCACCUUCUUGAGGCGCGCGCCUCGCGGUGCGCCUCGCGCCUAGACUCCAUAAAGCCUUUGCGUCUUUUUGCGCCUUGCGCCUUUUCUAACACUGCAUUCAACUAUGGAUACACCACACAAAUUGUCCCUAAAGCAAGUGGCAAAGGACUUGGUGAAGGUCCCAAGUUCGAAUCCUAAUUGAUUCACAUUUCUAGCUAAGUUUAUUUCGAAAUAAAAUAAAUGAAGCGGGUAGCGUGCUACCUAUUUCUCAAAAAAAAAACUAUGGAUACAACACUCCCAAC
RNAcentral lists this long non-coding RNA (465 nucleotides) under Ananas comosus (pineapple). Its description in RNAcentral is "long non-coding RNA (ACOM_LNC006645)". The record is from RNAcentral. Lineage: Eukaryota; Viridiplantae; Streptophyta; Magnoliopsida; Poales; Bromeliaceae.